CACGUAGGGUGCGAGCGUUUGUCCGGAAUUAUUGGGCGUAAAGAGCUCGUAGGCGGUCUGUCGCGUCUGCUGUGAAAACUCAGGGCUUAACCCUGAGCUUGCAGUGGGUACGGGCAGACUAGAGUGCGGUAGGGGAGACUGGAAUUCCUGGUGUAGCGGUGAAAUGCGCAGAUAUCAGGAGGAACACCGGUGGCGAAGGCGGGGUCUCUGGGCCGUAACUGACGCUGAGGAGCGAAAGCGUGGGGAGCGAACAGG
RNAcentral lists this ribosomal RNA (255 nucleotides) under uncultured bacterium. RNAcentral's name for it is "partial 16S ribosomal RNA". It matches the Rfam family "Bacterial small subunit ribosomal RNA", at positions 524 to 776 of the family's 1533-position model. The record is from RNAcentral.